RNAcentral lists this ribosomal RNA (303 nucleotides) under uncultured bacterium. RNAcentral describes it as "partial 16S ribosomal RNA". It matches the Rfam family "Bacterial small subunit ribosomal RNA", at positions 507 to 807 of the family's 1533-position model. The record is from RNAcentral.
AGCAGUCGCCGCGGUAAUACGAAGGGUGCAAGCGCUACUCGGAAUUACUGGGCGUAAAGCGUGCGUAGGUGGUGGUUUAAGUCCGUUGUGAAAGCCCUGGGCUCAACCUGGGAAUUGCAGUGGAUACUGGGUCACUAGAGUGUGGUAGAGGAUAGUGGAAUUUCCGGUGUAGCAGUGAAAUGCGUAGAGAUCGGAAGGAACAUCUGUGGCGAAGGCGACUAUCUGGGCCAACACUGACACUGAGGCACGAAAGCGUGGGGAGCAAACAGGAUUAGAUACCCCUGUAGUCCCUGUCUCUUAUAC